Molecule: long non-coding RNA, 15397 nt
Filed under: Zea mays
Lineage: Eukaryota; Viridiplantae; Streptophyta; Magnoliopsida; Poales; Poaceae
Description: long non-coding RNA (ZMAY_LNC005764)
Source: RNAcentral
UUUUUGACCAAGAAAUGGUCUCCACCAGAAAUCCAAGAAUGUGAUCUAUGGCAAGGAAACAUAUGUGGGGUGAGGUGUACGAGCCUCUGGUCGAUGAUCAAUGGCCACACAACCCCCAUUUUGCCGAAAAUAGCCAUGAAGACCAUUUUCAAUAAUACCGAAGGCUAACACGUACGAGUUUUUGACCAAGAAAUGGUCUCCACCAGAAAUCCAAGAAUGUGAUCUAUGGCAAGGAAACAUAUGUGGGGUGAGGUUAUGAGCCUCUGUCGAUGAUAAUGGCCACACAACCCCCAUUUUCGAAAAUAGCCAUGACGACCAUUUUCAUAUUGAGGCUAAACUACGAUUUUUGACCAAAAUGUUACCGAUAGAUGGUCUAUGGCAUUUGUGGGGUUGGUGGGCCCAUGCUUCGUUGCGCCGAAGGUCUUGCGUGAAGAAGCAGCUUCGGCUGAAAUCGUCCCCAGGAAAUGGCCGAAGGUUCCUUUUUUAUAGAGCUUCGGCAUUGCAAACCGACAUAGAGAUAGAAUGACCUUUUUAUCCAUAGAGGUCUAACAUAAUGUUGUAAACUUUUGUAAAGGGCAUAAUUGUAAUUCGUCACAGGCUGCGUCCUGUGUCUAUAAAUAGAUGAACAGUACCCCCGUACUGUUCACGCUGACUUGGCAUUUGCUUUGGCGUCACGCUUGUACUUUUCACCUUCUCUCAGGACCGAAGGUACAUUUGUAAUUGAAUUAUUUCUAUUUUUCCAUGUUAAUAAAAUAGAAAUGAUUCUAUGAUGAUGCUUAUAUUUAUUUCAUGCUUUAUAUGAGUCUUCGUCAUUAUUGUUAUGUUUACGAAGGUAUGUCUCUUAUGACCUUCGUCCGAACUCAUUAUUUCCCGAAGGGACAUAAUGCUUGAAGGACGAAGGACUUUAACACUUAACACUUUUUAUGUUGCCUUGUUCUUAACUCUUAGCAUUUGAGAACAAGUCCCCAACAUUGGCGCCCACCUCCGGUGAACUCACUUCCACUUUUCUGAGCUGAUGGCUUCGUUCAACAAUCAAGCUGGAGUUGCUUCGGACCCGAAGCUGGUGCUCCCGAUCACAGGUGGCUCGUCCUCAGAGCCAGCUAACAAGAAGCAGAAGAAGGAAGCGCAGAGAAGAGUACAGCAUGUUGGGGUGCAAGGACCCUUCAUCAAAUCAAGAUGGUCUCACAUUCCUAUUACCUUCUCUCAAGAGGACCUUCACUCAAAGAUUACCCACACAACGAUGCCAUGGUUAUCUCUUGUGUUAUCAAAGGAUUUCUGGUUCACAAUGUCUUGGUCGAUACAGGCAGUGCAGCUGACAUCAUAUUUGCUAAAGCCUUCAGACAGAUGCAAGAGCCAGAAGAUAAGAUUCAUGAUGCUACACAUCCUCUUUGUGGCUUCGGAGGAAGACAGAUUGUAGCACUGGGCAAGAUCACCAUGUCAGUAACCUUCGGAUUCAUCAACAACACUAGAACUGAGCAAGUUGUGUUUGACAUUGUUGACAUGGAAUAUCCUUACAAUGCAAUUAUUGGUCGUGGUACUCUUAAUGCCUUCGAAGCAAUCCUUCAUCCUGCCUAUCUUUGCAUGAAGAUACCUUCGGACCAAGGGCCUAUUGCUAUCCAUGGAAGCCAGGAAGCUGCUAGAAGGGCCGAAGGAAGCUGGACCGACUCCAAGGCAAUCCAUAAUAUAGAUGGAACUGAAGCUUGUGAACAGUACAAAUUCAGAAGGGAGAAGGCAGCUUCAGCAGAUCAGCCGAAGCCCAUGCUAUUGUGUGAGGACAUAGCAGAGCAGAAGGUGCUGUUGGGCUCGCAAUUAUCUGAAGACCAGGAGAAAACCUUGAUAAGGUUUUUAUUCAACAACAAAGAUGUUUUUGCAUGGUCGGCUAAUGAUCUCUGUGGAGUAAAUCGGGAUGUUAUUGAACAUUCGCUCAAUGUUGACCCAUCCUUCAGACCCCGAAAGCAGAGGCUUCGGAAAAUGUCUGAUGACAAGGCCGAAGGGGCUCGCAAUGAAGUAAAAAGACUCCUCAGUGCAGGAGUUAUCAGAGAAGUGAAGUAUCCAGAGUGGCUAGCUAACACUGUUAUGGUGAAGAAGGCCAAUGGCAAGUGGAGAAUGUGUAUCGAUUUCACAGAUCUCAACAAGGCUUGUCCGAAGGACGAAUUCCCGUUGCCAAGGAUAGACUCUCUAGUCGAUGCAGCAGCUUCUUCAGAGCUCAUGAGUCUCUUGGACUGUUACUCAGGUAUCAUCAAAUCUGGAUGAAAAAGGAAGAUGAGCCGAAAACUAGCUUCAUAACUCCAAGUGGCACGUAUUGCUAUCUUCGGAUGCCUGAGGGGCUCAAAAACGCUGGAGGAAGUUUCAGCAGAAUGACUGCGAAGGUUCUUCAGUCUCAAAUAGGCAGAAAUGUGUUGACCUAUGUUGAUGACAUUAUCGUCAAAAGCACGAAGCAGGAAAAUCAUAUUGUUGAUCUGCAGGAGACCUUCGCCAGCUUCAGACAAGCUGGUUUGAAGCUGAAUCCAGAGAAAUGUGUCUUCGGAGUAAAGAAGGGUAAAUUUCUUGGAUGCUUGGUUUCAACAAAGGGAAUCGAAGCUAAUCCAAAUAAAAUCGAAGCUAUACUUCGAAUGGAGCCACCAACUACAAGAAAAGGGGCCCAAAGAUUGACAGGAAGGCUGGCAUCUCUCAACAGAUUUAUAUCCAGAUCAGCAGAAAGAAACUUACCAUUUUUCGAGGUGCUGAAGUCAGCCGAAGUCUUUCAAUGGGGCCCAAGUCAACAAAAAGCCUUCGAAGAGUUGAAGCAAUACUUGAUAGAUCUCACAACAUUAACUCCGCCAACGCCAGGGGCUCCUCUGUUGUUAUAUGUGGCAGCUUCGCACUCAGCAGUAAGUGCGGCGCUUGUCCAGGAGAAGCUUUAUGGCCAGCUUAAGAAGCAAGUUCCAGUGUAUUUUGUAUCUGAGGUCCUUAGUGUCUCAAAGAAAAAUUAUACAGAGCUGGAGAAGGUAUUAUAUGCCGUUUUAAUGGCAUCCAGGAAGCUUCGGCAUUAUUUUCAGGCAUACAAUAUCAUUGUUCCUUCUUCGCAGCCGUUGAAGGAUAUAAUGAGAAAUAGAGAAGCUACUGGACGGAUUGGGAAAUGGGCUGCAGAGCUCAACGAAUUUUACAUUGAUUAUGUGCAUAGAUCUUCGAUCCAGUCUCAAGCAUUGGCAGAUUUCAUUGCCGACUGGACGCCAGGGGCUCAGGAUGAAGAAGCAAAUAAAGAUGCCGAAGUGUGGACAGUGUUUUGUGAUGGCUCUUGGGGAAUCUUCGGAGCAGGUGCAGCUGCUGUGUUGGUUUCACCAUCCAAGGUCAAAACUUGUUAUGCAGCAAGACUUGAUUUCAGCUGCACGAACAAUAUUGCUGAGUACGAAGCCCUGCUUUUGGGCCUUCGGAAAUUAAAGGCAAUGGGAAUCAGAAGGGCAAUUCUUAAAACUGAUUCCCAGGUGGUUUCGGGUCAUGUUGACAAAAGUUGCAAGGCUAAAGAUCCGAAGCUUGAAAAAUAUCUAGAUACGGUCCGAAGGAUCGAAGCAUCCUUCGAAGGAUUCUCUGUCAAGAAUAUUCCUCGAGGACAAAAUGAGCAUGCUGAUUUGCUAGCUAAGUCUGCGGCACAGGGGCUGCCGUUACCUUCGGAUGUGUUCUUCGAAACAAUAAAGGCACCUUCAGUGGAGCUCCUUGAAAGAGCAGUCCUCAACAUAUCUCCUGUUUACAGCGAAGAUUGGAGAACUGAAAUAAUCUCUUACCUUCAGGGUAAGUUCCUUUCAGAUGACGAAGCUUACAAUAAAAGAAUAGAGGCAAGAGCUCGUCCGUAUGUCAUGAUAGAAGGGGAAUUAUACAAACAUGGAGUUUGCGCUCCGCUGCUCAAGUGCUUAUCUAGAGCCGAAGGUAUAGAGUUGAUGAAAGAGAUACAUGCAGGCCUGUGUGGAUCCCACAUCGGAUCCAGGCCAUUACUUGGGAAAGUCUUCCGCCAAGGGUUUUAUUGGCCGAAGGCAGCUUCGGAUGCGGCGGAGUUAGUGCAAAAGUGCGAAGGUUGUCAGAAAUGUGCAAGAGAUCAAAAACAACCUUCGUCUUUGACACAGCUGAUACAACCCAUCUGGCCAUUGCAAAGGUGGGGCCUUGACUUGUUGGGUCCAUUACCACCGGCUCAAGGGAAUCUAAAAUAUGUUAUAGUGGCUGUGGAGUAUUUUUCCAAGUGGAUUGAGGCGAAGCCAUUGGCCACAAUAACUUCGGCCACUGUCCAAAAGUUUUUCUGGCAGAAUAUUGUCUGUCGCUUCGGGGUACCGAAGGCAAUCACUGUAGAUAAUGGAACGCAGUUUGACUCCGAAGCUUUCAGAAAUUUCUGUGAUCAAAUUGGAACGAAGAUCCAUUUUGCAUCAGUCAGGCAUCCGGAGUCAAAUGGGCUCGUUGAAAGGGCCAACGGCAUUAUAAUGACAGGAAUAAUGAAGUUAAUCUUCAAUCAACCCAGGGGAAAGUGGCCAGAUCAGUUAAUCAAAGUGGUGUGGAGCCACAAUACAACAACAUCAAGGUCUACAGGCUUUACCCCAUUCAAAUUAUUAUUCGGUGACGAAGCAAUAACUCCGGAGGAAGCAAAAGCUGGAUCAGUAAGAGUAGUAGCUUCGGCAGAAUCAGGUCCCGAAGAUGCUUGCCUUGUGGAAAAGGAUGCUUUAGAAGGGAUCAGGCUUCAGGCCGUGGAGAAUAUCAAUAAAUAUCAGGCUGAAACAGUUAAAUGGCGAGAUAGAAAAGUCCGGCUAAAAAAUAUUGAGCCGGGACACUUGGUGCUUCGGAGAGUGGCUAACCCAGAUACAGUGGGUAAGCUACAGUUGAAAUGGGAAGGACCAUUCUUAGUAGUAUCUUCGUCAAGGCCUGGAUCAUACAGAUUGAAGGACAUGGAUGGCAACGAAAUUCCAAGGUCUUGGAAUGCGGAUGAGCUUCGGCGAUACUAUGUAUAACAUGAUGUAAUUUUUUAUGUUUUUCUUUUCUUUUCAUGGCACCCUUUUCCUUUCCGAAGGGGGAGAAAGGUUUUUAAUGGGGCCAUCAUGUGUAAUUUCCUUUUUUAGUCUUAUAAGAGCAAAAUCCCCCAAAAAAUGUAAAUGUAACAGCUGAGAACGCACCAUCGAGUGCAGAAACUGAAAAAGAAAAAAGAGAAGAAGCUCCAAAGACGUUCCUAAGGGAAUGCAGAGCUUAUACCGCCUAAGUAAAAGGCGAAGAAACUCCAAAGACGUUCCUAAGGGAAUGCAGAGUUUAUACCGUCUAAGUAAAAGACGAAGAAGCUCCAAAGACGUUCCUAAGGGAAUGCAGAGCUUAUACCGCCUAAGUAAAAGGCGAAGAAACUCCAAAGACGUUCCUAAGGGAAUGCAGAGUUUAUACCGUCUAAGUAAAAGACGAGGAAGCUCCAAAGUCGUUCCUAAGGGAAUGCAGAGCUGAUGUGUGGUUGAUUCCAAGGAAAUAAUGGUUGAGUGUGGCUUCGGUUAUAUGCUUUGGACAUUCAUUCGCACAUUACAUCAUAGCAUUUGCAUUCAUAAGCAUUCAUUCAUAGCAUUUGUGUUCCUAAGUGGUUGCUUCGGCAAAAGGAAGAAGUGGUCUUUUAUGUUUCGUCAUGUACAAAAAGAAAAAGCUUCGGCAAAGAAGAAGCGGCUUUUAUGUUUCGUCAUGUACAAAAAGAAAAAGCUUCGGCAAGAGGAAGAAGCGGUCUUUUAUGUUUCGUCAUGUACAAAAAAGAAAAGCUUCGGCAAAAAGAAGAAAUGGUCUUUUAUGCUUCGUUGUGUACGAAAAGAAGGGAAGGUGUUUUUUCGCCUUCGGCUCAAAAUACUGAUUUCGUCCACAUCAAAGCGUCUCAAUAAAAGGGUAAGAAUAUAUUACAAGGUAUGAACAAAGUUCCUUGAGAAUAGAUUAAUUGUAUUUACAAAAAGUUGUUACAAAUUCUCCUGAGUUUUUUCUAGUCUACUCCUAUUAAUCUUCGUCAGGUUUCUGCUUCGGCGGCAUAUCCUUUAAGUAUCACCUUCAGCUUCGUCAUCCUACAUGAAUCAAGGUAUCCCGAGUAAAAAUCAAGUGUGAAGGAGAAGGUAAGUACAAAGUAUGAUUUCUUACUGGUUCAAGAUGACUUCGAGCUUCGUCCCCAGCCUUCUCUCGCCCGCCUUUUGUCCAUAUCAUUUUUAUGAAUCUAUUUGAGAUGCUCCGGGCGAGGUCAGGAAUGUCGUCGAGAAUUGAUGGAGACAGGGCGAAGUUGGGCCUGUUGACAAUCUUUCCAUGCUCGCAGCCAGCCUUCAGGAAUGCUGCAGCAGUACCCCGAGAAGCUACCCAGGCACAGAAGUCACCGUGCCCAGCUAUAACUUCGUCAAGUUCUUCAAUUUCAGCUUCGAUAUGAUCGAAGGCUUUUGGUAAAUCUUCAUCCGAAGGGGUAAAUUUCCCGCUGCUGGCUCCAACUGAGUAAAAGAUCUUCUUUAGUUGUUGGAUACAAUUGUUGCUAAAAUUCAAACAUUUAUCCUGAAGGCUUGUUAAUGAUUUCUUCAAAUUUGAGUUGGCUUGGACUUCGGCUUCAAGUUUCGAAUCAAGUUCUAGCUUCUCUUGUUCAAAUUGUUUUGAUUGGCAGAGAAGCUUCGAAUUCAAUUCUGCUACUUUGGCUUCAGUCUCUGCCAGCAAGCCUUCGGUUGAUUGAAGUUCGAAGUCUUUCUUUUCAAUAAUAGCUGAUUGUUCUUUUAUCUUGCUCUCUAAAUUUUCAAUUAUAGCUUCGUGCUUCUUAUCUUCUAGAUCUUGCUGCAUCCUCAAAGCUUUGCUUAGAAGCAUGCUCUGCAAAUAAACAACCUUCGUUAAAGAAUAUUGCCAUUAUUAAAAAACAAUAGAAGUUAGAGAGAAGGAUGUUUACCUUGAAAUUUGAAUAAAAUAAGCUGCCGACGAUAUGUUGUCGUCGGUAGCGGCUGAUGUCUGUCUCUAGUUUCGGAAAACCGAUACUCUUUGAUAGAGUACCGAUGACCUUAGCCCCAGCUGAGUCCCGGAUGCAGCCCAGUUUUUCAUCAUCAAUGCCUCCAAAUAGAAGAGCUCCUGGCUUGUAUCCGCAAGAUUUGGCGUAUUCCUUAAGCUCUUCUUUUUCGGCCUUCGACAGUUUUUGCCCGACUAAAUUUUGAAAUGAAGUAGGCUUCGUCGUCCGAAGUGUCUUCGGCUAUUUCUUUCCCUUUCCCAGGCACUGUGGCCAUGGUUUCUUCAGCAGUGGUGGCAGCUUCUUCUGCAGCCAUGUCUGUUAAAAUUUUGUUGAUGUCUUCAAUAGUAGAUUCUAAGUUUACAUCUUCGGCUGUAGCGGCUUCGGUAGCCGCGACCUCCGAAGGUGCGACUUCGACAUUUUCUGUGCCCUCAACAGCUGGUGUUUUCUGAAUUGACGCCCUCGGUGGCGUCUUGUCAAUAACUUCUGUUACGGCAAUAAUUCUUUGCCUUUUCGCUUUGGCUAUCUUCGUUUUUCCCGGCUCCGCCACCUUUUGAAAAAGCUUCGUCAGUCGAGGCCCUAAUGGACUUAGCUUCGUGGGCAUGGGUUCAGUCAUUACCUUUAGAAUUUCCUCCACGUCGCUAGUAGAAGGUGGUGUGGGGGUCCCCUCUUCUUCGGAUAGUUUUCGCUUUGGAGUUGAUAUUUUUCUCUUGACAAUUUUCUUCUUUUUUGGUGGUUGUUCUUCAUCCUUGUUUAAAGCUUCGGCCGCUCUUUUUCUUCUCUGGCCCUCAGCACCCUUGUUCAGCUGCGCAUAAUCAGGAUAUUCGAAACCCAGUGCAUCAAGCACUCGGUUCAGCCUUCGCUUCGGACGGGUGCCGAAGGCUGCUGUCAUCAGUUGAUCUUCUUUUUUCGAAUAAUUUCCAAGAAUUUCAUUACACAUCACCUCAACUGUAUCCAGCCACUCUUGGCAGGGCUUCUUAAAAUAUUUCUUGAAUUUGAAGUGGUAAGGAAGCCGGACAAGAUCCCCUUCCUUCUUCUCCCCCUUUAACUUUGGCAUUUCCCAUUUUUUCAGAGUAGGGAAGACUCUGAAUGCUAAGAAUUCUUGAACCAGAUCCCUGGUACCAAUAUGCUCUGCAAUGAUCCUGAAUUCAUCCAUUGCCCGUUGAGUUUGACCCUCUGGUGUCAUGUUGCAGUGGGGUCGGGUUUCUCCGAAAGUUAGCUCGAGUGGACUUUGCACAAGCUUCUCCUUGUCCUCAUCAACCUUGACAUAGAACCAUUCUGAUUUCCAGCCUGCCGGCCAUUUGCUUCGGUAGCUGAUUACAGGAAACUUUGCGGUUUUCCGGUAGGCAAAAUUGUAGCAACCGAAGUUUUCAUGAAGCCCAUCUUUUCUGGCCUUUGUUUGAUAAUGCAAUUCAUGAACUCGACAGAAACUGUCAGCAAAAGGCUCCACUGCUUGGCUUCGGAGGGCCCAAAUAUAAACGCUAAGCCUAACGAUAGCGUUAGGAGUUAACUGAUGAAGGUAGAUGCCAAACCUCUUCAAUAUCUCCGCAACAAUCUCGUGAACAGGGAAUCUUAGCCCAGCCUUUAAAAAGCUUUUGAAGAUGACAACCUCGUCCUUCUCUGGCUUCGGGGUGGUCUCUUCUCCCCCGAAGCGAAGUAGCUUCUUCUGAUCUUCACUGAAAAAACCUGCUUUCACCAUCUUGGCGAGAUCAACCUUUGAAACAGUCGAUUUUCCGAAGUCUAGGUGGCUGGGUUUGCUGGGCAUGGCAAUACGGUAGUCAUCUUCGGAGUCGGUUUCUUCAAUGUUCCCUUCUCCUUCGGCAGCUGUCGGGUUUGCUUCGGCAGCAGGCAUUUCUUCCGCAGUCACCAGUCCGGAGCGCUGCAUCGCUUCGGAGAUGGGCACAGUCUCCGAAGCUUCAGUUUCGUCCCCCUCACGCUCAACCCUAGCUGUAGAGCGAACUCUGGCCAUUUAAUUAUGAACUUGUGAAACUUGGUACUUUUUUCUCCGAAGCAGGCUUCAAGAUGGAGCUUCGUUCAAAUCUGACAAACUAGCUUCGGUGGUGGUUAAAAAUUUUGGCAGCAAAACAGUGCAAAUAGCAGUAAAUGCUGUGGUAACUUCACACCUACUCGUCUGUUUAUAUAGUGCUGCAGGUAAGAAGGCGAAGCGGCAGGGUUUUUACACCAGGCGGGCAGUAACUUGUACUCGCUGCGCAGUGGACCGCAAAGACCAAACAGUGACUCUGCAAGGUGGGACCGACACGAUCUCGGGAAAUGAAUCGUUUCUCGGCAACGAGCUCAGGGAAGGUGUUUUUUGGACCUUCGGCUUCCCGAAGCUUGAGAGGAUUUUUUCACGGUUCAAGCUCGUUACGAAAAACGAUCUAGCGCCGCGAAAGGGGCUACUGUUGGGCCCAUGCUUCGUUGCGCCGAAGGUCUUGCGUGAAGAAGCAGCUUCGGCUGAAAUCGUCCCCAGGAAAUGGCCGAAGGUUCCUUUUUUAUAGAGCUUCGGCAUUGCAAACCGACAUAGAGAUAGAAUGACCUUUUUAUCCAUAGAGGUCUAACAUAAUGUUGUAAACUUUUGUAAAGGGCAUAAUUGUAAUUCGUCACAGGCUGCGUCCUGUGUCUAUAAAUAGAUGAACAGUACCCCGUACUGUUCACGCUGACUUGGCAUUUGCUUUUGCGUCACGCUUGUACUUUUCACCUUCUCUCAGGACCGAAGGUACAUUUGUAAUUUGAAAUCAUUUCUAUUUUUCCAUGUUAAUAAAAUAGAAAUGAUUCUAUGAUGAUGCUUAUAUUAUAUUUCAUGCUUUAUAUGAGUCCUUCGUCAUUACUUGUUAUGUUUACGAAGGUAUGUCUCUAUGACCUUCGUCCGAGACUCAUUAUUUCCCGAAGGGACAUAAUGCUUCGAAGGACGAAGGACUUUAACACUUAACACUUUUUAUGUUGCCUUGUUCUUAACUCUUAGCAUUUGAGAACAAGUCUCCAACAGAGCCUAUGGUCGAUGAUCAAUGGCCACACAACCCCCAUUUUGUCGAAAAUAGCCAUGAAUGACCAUUUACAAUAAUACCGAAGGCUAACACCUACGGAUUUUUGACCAAGAAAUGGUCUCCACCAGAAAUCCAAGAAUGUGAUCUAUGGCAAGGAAACAUAUGUGGGGUGAUGUGUAUGAGCCUCUGGUCGAUGAUCAAUGGCCACACAACCCCCAUUUUUGUCGAAAAUAGCCAUGAACGACCAUUUUCAAUAAUAUCGAAGGCUAACACCUACGGAUUUUUGACCAAGAAAUGGUCUCCACCAGAAAUCCAAGAAUGUGAUCUAUGACAAGGAAACAUUUGUGGGGUGAGGUGUAUGAGCCUCUGGUCGACGAUCAAUGGCCACACAACCCCCAUUUUGCCGAAAAUAGCCAUGAAUGACCAUUUUCAAUAAUACCGAAGGCUAACACGUACGAGUUUUUAACCAAGAAAUGGCUUCCACCAGAAAUCCAAGAAUGUAAUCUAUGGCAAGGAAACAUAUGUGGGGUGAGGUUUAUGAGCCUCUAGUCGAUGAUAAAUGGCCACACAACCCCCAUUUUUUAUGAAAAUAGCCAUGAGCGACCUUGAAAAUAGCCAUGAGCGACCAUUUUCAAUAAUACUAGAGGCUAACACCUACGGAUUUUAGACCAAGAAAUGGUCUCCACCAGAAAUCCAAGAAUGUGAUCUACGACAAGGAAACAUAUGUGGGGUGAGGUGUAUGAGCCUCUGGUCGACGAUCAAUGGCCACACAACCCCCAUUUUGCCGAAAAUAGCCAUGAAUGACCAUUUUCAAUAAUACCGAAGGCUAACACGUACGAGUUUUUAACCAAGAAAUGGCUUCCACCAGAAAUCCAAGAAUGUAAUCUAUGGCAAGGAAACAUAUGUGGGGUGAGGUUUAUGAGCCUCUAGUCGAUGAUAAAUGGCCACACAACCCCCAUUUUUUAUGAAAAUAGCCAUGAGCGACCUUGAAAAUAGCCAUGAGCGACCAUUUUCAAUAAUACUAGAGGCUAACACCUACGGAUUUUAGACCAAGAAAUGGUCUCCACCAGAAAUCCAAGAAUGUGAUCUAUGGCAAGGAAACAUAUGUGGGGUGAGGUGUAUGAGCGUCUGGUCGAUGAUCAAUGGACACACAACCCCCAUUUUUGUCGAAAAUAGCCAUGAACGACCAUUUUCAAUAAUACCGAAGGCUAACACCUACGGAUUUUUGACCAAGAAAUGGUCUCCACCAAUAAUCCAAGAAUGUGAUUUAUGGCAAAGAAACAUAUGUGGGGUGAGGUGUAUGAGCCUCUUGUCGACGAUCAAUGGCCACACAACCCUAAUUUUUGUCGAAAAUAGCCAUGAACGACCAUUUUCAAUGACACUGAAGGCUAACACCUACGGAUUUUUGACCAAGAAAUGGUCUCCACCAUAAAUCCAAGAAUGUGAUCUAUGGCAAGGAAACAUAUGUGUAGUGAGGUGUAUGAGCCUCUGGUCGAAGAUCAAUGGCCACACAACCCCCAUUUUUGUCGAAAAUAGCCAUGAAUGACCAUUUUCAAAAAUACCAAAGGCUAACACGUACGGAUUUUUGACCAAGAAAUGGUCUCCACCAGAAAUCCAAGAAUGUGAUCUAUGUCAAGGAAACAUAUGUGGGGUGAGGUGUACGAGCCUCUGGUCGAUGAUCAAUGGCCACACAACCCCCAUUUUGCCGAAAAUAGCCAUGAACGACCAUUUUCAAUAAUACCGAAGGCUAACACGUACGAGUUUUUAACCAAGAAAUGGUCUCCACCAGAAAUCCAAGAAUGUGAUCUAUGGCAAUGAAACAUAUGUGGGGUGAGGUUUAUGAGCCUCUAGUCGAUGAUAAAUGGCCACACAACCCCCAUUUUUUAUGAAAAUAGCCAUGAGCGACCUUCAAAAUAGCCAUGAGCGACCAUUUUCAAUAAUACUAGAGGCUAACACCUACGGAUUUUAGACCAAGAAAUGGUCUCCACCAGAAAUCCAAGAAUGUGAUCUAUGGCAAGGAAACAUAUGUGGGGUGAGGUGUAUGAGCGUCUGGUCGAUGAUCAAUGGCCACACAACCCCCAUUUUUGUCGAAAAUAGCCAUGAACGACCAUUUUCAAUAAUACCUAGGCUAACACCUACGGAUUUUUGACCAAGAAAUGGUCUCCACCAGAAAUCCAAGAAUGUGAUCUAUGGCAAGGAAACAUAUGUGGGGUGAGGUGUAUGAGCCUCUGGUCGACGAUCAAUGGCCACACAACCCUAAUUUUUGUCGAAAAUAGCCAUGAACGACCAUUUUCAAUGACACUGAAGGCUAACACCUACGGAUUUUUGACCAAGAAAUGGUCUCCACCAUAAAUCCAAGAAUGUGAUCUAUGGCAAGGAAACAUAUGUGUAGUGAGGUGUAUGAGCCUCUGGUCGAAGAUCAAUGGCCACACAACCCCCAUUUUUGUCGAAAAUAGCCAUGAAUGACCAUUUUCAAAAAUACCAAAGGCUAACACAUUCGAUUUUUGCCCAAGAAAUGGUCUCCACCAGAAAUCCAAGAAUGUGAUCUAUGGCAAGGAAACAUAUGUGGGGUGAGGUGUACGAGCCUCUGGUCGAUGAUCAAUGGCCACAGAACCCCCAUUUUGCCGAAAAUAGCCAUGAACGACCAUUUUCAAUAAUACCGAAGGCUAACACGUACGAGUUUUUGACCAAGAAAUGGUCUCCACCAAAAAUCCAAGAAUGUGAUCUAUGGCAAGGAAACAUAUGUGGGGUGAGAUUUAUGAGCCUCUAGUCGAUGAUAAAUGGCCACACAACCCCCAUUUUUUUAUGAAAAUAGCCAUGAGCGACCAUUUUCAAUAAUAUUAGAGGCUAAGACCUACGGAUUUUUGACCAAGAAAUGGUCUCCACCAGAAAUCCAAGAAUGUGAUCUAUGGCAAGGAAACAUAUGUGGGGUGAGGUGUAUGAGCCUCUGGUCGAUGAUCAAUGGCCACACAACCCCCAUUUUUGUCGAAAAUAGCCAUGAAUGACCAUUUACAAUAAUACCGAAGGCUAACACCUACGGAUUUUUUACCAAGAAAUGGUCUCCACCAGAAAUCCAAGAAUGUGAUCUAUGGCAAGGAAACAUAUGUGGGGUGAGGUGUAUGAGCCUCUGGUCGAUGAUCAAUGGCCACACAACCCCAUUUUUGUCAAAAUAGCCAUGAACGACCAUUUUCAAUAAUAUCGAAGGCUAACACCUACGGAUUUUUGACCAAGAAAUGGUCUCCACCAGAAAUCCAAGAAUGUGAUCUACGACAAGGAAACAUAUGUGGGGUGAGGUGUAUGAGCCUCUGGUCGACGAUCAAUGGCCACACAACCCCCAUUUUGCCGAAAAUAGCCAUGAAUGACCAUUUUCAAUAAUACCGAAGGCUAACACGUACGAGUUUUUAACCAAGAAAUGGUUUCCACCAGAAAUCCAAGAAUGUAAUCUAUGGCAAGGAAACAUAUGUGGGGUGAGGUUUAUGAGCCUCUAGUCGAUGAUAAAUGGCCACACAACCCCCAUUUUUUAUGAAAAUAGCCAUGAGCGACCUUGAAAAUAGCCAUGAGCGACCAUUUUCAAUAAUAUUAGAGGCUAAGACCUACGGAUUUUUGACCAAGAAAUGGUCUCCACCAGAAAUCCAAGAAUGUGAUCUAUGGCAAGGAAACAUAUGUGGGGUGAGGUGUAUGAGCCUCUGGUCGAUGAUCAAUGGCCACACAACCCCCAUUUUUGUCGAAAAUAGCCAUGAAUGACCAUUUACAAUAAUACCGAAGGCUAACACCUACGGAUUUUUGACCAAGAAAUGGUCUCCACCAGAAAUCCAAGAAUGUGAUCUAUGGCAAGGAAACAUAUGUGGGGUGAGGUGUAUGAGCCUCUGGUCGAUAAUCAAUGGCCACACAACCCCCAUUUUUGUCGAAAAUAGCCAUGAACGACCAUUUUCAAUAAUAUCGAAGGCUAACACCUAUGGAUUUUUGACCAAGAAAUGGUCUCCACCAGAAAUCCAAGAAUGUGAUCUACGACAAGGAAACAUAUGUGGGGUGAGGUGUAUGAGCCUCUGGUCGACGAUCAAUGGCCACACAACCCCCAUUUUGCCGAAAAUAGCCAUGAAUGACCAUUUUCAAUAAUACCGAAGGCUAACACGUACGAGUUUUUAACCAAGAAAUGGUUUCCACCAGAAAUCCAAGAAUGUAAUCUAUGGCAAGGAAACAUAUGUGGGGUGAGGUUUAUGAGCCUCUAGUCGAUGAUAAAUGGCCACACAACCCCCAUUUUUUAUGAAAAUAGCCAUGAGCGACCUUGAAAAUAGCCAUGAGCGACCAUUUUCAAUAAUACUAGAGGCUAACACCUACGGAUUUUAGACCAAGAAAUGGUCUCCACCAGAAAUCCAAGAAUGUGAUCUAUGGCAAGGAAACAUAUGUGGGGUGAGGUGUAUGAGCGUCUGGUCGAUGAUCAAUGGCCACACAACCCCCAUUUUUGUCGAAAAUAGCCAUGAACGACCAUUUUCAAUAAUACCGAAGGCUAACACCUACGGAAUUUUGACCAAGAAAUGGUCUCCACCAGAAAUCCAAGAAUGUGAUCUAUGGCAAGGAAACAUAUGUGGGGUGAGGUGUAUGAGCCUCUGGUCGACGAUCAAUGGCCACACAACCCCCAUUUUUUAUGAAAAUAGCCAUGAGCGACCUUGAAAAUAGCCAUGAGCGACCAUUUUCAAUAAUACUAGAGGCUAACACCUACGGAUUUUAGACCAAGAAAUGGUCUCCACCAGAAAUCCAAGAAUGUGAUCUAUGGCAAGGAAACAUAUGUGGGGUGAGGUGUAUGAGCGUCUGGUCGAUGAUCAAUGGCCACACAACCCCCAUUUUUGUCGAAAAUAGCCAUGAACGACCAUUUUCAAUAAUACCGAAGGCUAACACCUACGGAUUUUUGACCAAGAAAUGGUCUCCACCAGAAAUCCAAGAAUGUGAUCUAUGGCAAGGAAACAUAUGUGGGGUGAGGUGUAUGAGCCUCUGGUCGAUGAUCAAUGGCCACACAACCCCCAUUUUUGUCGAAAAUAGCCAUGAACGACCAUUUUCAAUAAUAUCGAAGGCUAACACCUACGGAUUUUUGACCAAGAAAUGGUCUCCACCAGAAAUCCAAGAAUGUGAUCUACGACAAGGAAACAUAUGUGGGGUGAGGUGUAUGAGCCUCUGGUCGACGAUCAAUGGCCACACAACCCCCAUUUUGCCGAAAAUAGCCAUGAAUGACCAUUUUCAAUAAUAUCGAAGGCUAACACCUACGGAUUUUUGACCAAGAAAUGGUCUCCACCAGAAAUCCAAGAAUGUGAUCUACGACAAGGAAACAUAUGUGGGGUGAGGUGUAUGAGCCUCUGGUCGAUGAUCAAUGGCCACACAACCCCCAUUUUGCCGAAAAUAGCCAUGAAUGACCAUUUUCAAUAAUACCGAAGGCUAACACGUACGAGUUUUUAACCAAGAAAUGGUUUCCACCAGAAAUCCAAGAAUG